AUUGAACGCUGGCGGCAGGCCUAACACAUGCAAGUCGAGCGGUUGAGGUAGCUUGCUACCGAUACAGCGGCGGACGGGUGAGUAAUACAUGGGAAUCUGCCUGGUAGUGGGGGACAACGUUUCGAAAGGAACGCUAAUACCGCAUACGCCCUACGGGGGAAAGGGGGGGAUCUUCGGACCUCUCGCUAUCAGAUGAGCCCAUGUCAGAUUAGCUUGUUGGUGAGGUAAAGGCUAACCAAGGCGACGAUCUGUAACUGGUCUGAGAGGAUGAUCAGUAACACGGGAACUGAGACACGGUCCAGACUCCUGCGAGAGGCAGCAGGGGGGAAUAUUGGACAAGGGGCGCAAGCCUGAUCCAGCCAUGCCGCGUGUGUGAAGAAGGCCUUAGGGUUGUAAAGCACUUUCAGUGGGGAGAAAGGCCUUUUACUUAAUACGUAAGAGGAUUGAUGUUACCCACAGAAGAAGCACCGGCUAACUCCGUGCCAGCCGCCGCCGUAA
RNAcentral lists this ribosomal RNA (498 nucleotides) under uncultured bacterium. Its description in RNAcentral is "partial 16S ribosomal RNA". It matches the Rfam family "Bacterial small subunit ribosomal RNA", at positions 30 to 523 of the family's 1533-position model. The record is from RNAcentral.